This 575-nucleotide ribosomal RNA is filed under the name Escherichia coli. RNAcentral describes it as "partial 23S ribosomal RNA". It matches the Rfam family "Bacterial large subunit ribosomal RNA", at positions 2374 to 2925 of the family's 2925-position model. Lineage: Bacteria; Pseudomonadati; Pseudomonadota; Gammaproteobacteria; Enterobacterales; Enterobacteriaceae. The record is from RNAcentral. RNAcentral also lists the same sequence under 1 other name.
UGCGAGCGUGACGGCGCGAGCAGGUGCGAAAGCAGGUCAUAGUGAUCCGGUGGUUCUGAAUGGAAGGGCCAUCGCUCAACGGAUAAAAGGUACUCCGGGGAUAACAGGCUGAUACCGCCCAAGAGUUCAUAUCGACGGCGGUGUUUGGCACCUCGAUGUCGGCUCAUCACAUCCUGGGGCUGAAGUAGGUCCCAAGGGUAUGGCUGUUCGCCAUUUAAAGUGGUACGCGAGCUGGGUUUAGAACGUCGUGAGACAGUUCGGUCCCUAUCUGCCGUGGGCGCUGGAGAACUGAGGGGGGCUGCUCCUAGUACGAGAGGACCGGAGUGGACGCAUCACUGGUGUUCGGGUUGUCAUGCCAAUGGCACUGCCCGGUAGCUAAAUGCGGAAGAGAUAAGUGCUGAAAGCAUCUAAGCACGAAACUUGCCCCGAGAUGAGUUCUCCCUGACCCUUUAAGGGUCCUGAAGGAACGUUGAAGACGACGACGUUGAUAGGCCGGGUGUGUAAGCGCAGCGAUGCGUUGAGCUAACCGGUACUAAUGAACCGUGAGGCUUAACCUUACAACGCCGAAGGUGUUU